UGUAAGCGUAUACCAAAGUUGUUGCAGUUAAAACGCUUGUAGUCGGAAUUUGGCAGUUCCGGAUGUGUGCACGUCGUGUGCGCACUUCGCGGGGAUUGCUUUUGUGGUCUUGCGUAGGAUGAGGCACUUUUAUUAGUGAACGUCCUCACGCAACCACUUUUUACUGUGAGAAAAUCAGAGUGCUCAAAGCAGGCAUUUGCCGUGAAUGUAUUAGCAUGGAAUAAUAGAAUAGGACUUGGUUCUAUUUUGUUGGUUUGUUGGGACUGAGUAAUGAUUAAGAGGGACAGUUGGGGGCAUUUGUAUUUCGGUGCUAGAGGUGAAAUUCUUAGAUUACCGAAAGACAAACUGCUGCGAAAGCGUCUGCCAAGGAUGUUUUCAUUGA
Molecule: ribosomal RNA, 382 nt
Filed under: uncultured eukaryote
Lineage: Eukaryota
Description: partial 18S ribosomal RNA
Rfam family: Eukaryotic small subunit ribosomal RNA
Source: RNAcentral